RNAcentral lists this ribosomal RNA (491 nucleotides) under Cryptococcus sp. EMU_2_Y3. RNAcentral describes it as "eukaryotic LSU rRNA". It matches the Rfam family "Eukaryotic large subunit ribosomal RNA", at positions 98 to 595 of the family's 3401-position model. Lineage: Eukaryota; Fungi; Basidiomycota; Tremellomycetes; Tremellales; Cryptococcaceae. The record is from RNAcentral.
CCGGGAUGAGCUCAAAUUUAAAAUCUGGCGUCUUUCAGGCGUCCGAGUUGUAAUCUAUAGAGGCGUUUUCCGCGCCGGACCGCGUCCAAGUCUCUUGGAAUAGAGUAUCAAAGAGGGUGACAAUCCCGUACUUGACGCGACAACCGGUGCUCUGUGAUACGUUCUCAAUGAGUCGAGUUGUUUGGGAAUGCAGCUCUAAAUGGGUGGUAAAUUCCAUCUAAGGCUAAAUAUUGGCGAGAGACCGAUAGCGAACAAGUACCGUGAGGGAAAGAUGAAAAGCACUUUGGAAAGAGAGUUAAACAGCACGUGAAAUUGUUAAAAGGGAAACGAUUGAAGUCAGUCGUGUGAAAGGUAUUCAGCCGUCUCUGGCGGUGUAUUUGCCUUUCACGGGUCAACAUCAGUUUGAUCCGGUAGAAAAAGGCGGGAGGAAGGUGGCACCCUCGGGUGUGUUAUAGCCUCCUGUCAUAUGUGCCGGACCAGACUGAGGAACG